RNAcentral lists this small nuclear RNA (117 nucleotides) under Propithecus coquereli (Coquerel's sifaka). Its description in RNAcentral is "U5 spliceosomal RNA (ENSPCOG00000009285.1)". It matches the Rfam family "U5 spliceosomal RNA". Rfam says of the family: U5 RNA is a component of both types of known spliceosome. The precise function of this molecule is unknown, though it is known that the 5' loop is required for splice site selection and p220 binding, and that both the 3' stem-loop and the Sm site are important for Sm protein binding and cap methylation. Lineage: Eukaryota; Metazoa; Chordata; Mammalia; Primates; Indriidae. The record is from RNAcentral.
AAAUUUGUGGUUUCUCUUCAGGUUGUAUAAAUCUUUCGCCUUUUGAUAAAGAUUUCCAUAGGGAGGAACAAUGCUAAGUUUUAACCCAAUUUUUUGAGGCCUUGCGUUUUCAGGGAA